Molecule: long non-coding RNA, 5881 nt
Organism: Gasterosteus aculeatus aculeatus (three-spined stickleback)
Lineage: Eukaryota; Metazoa; Chordata; Actinopteri; Perciformes; Gasterosteidae
Source: Ensembl
CGAAGACCUCCGGAGCUUCCGGGAACGCCCACGCCGCCCAACGGCGUGACCCAUCCCGGGAUGGAGUCGCUGCCUCUCUCUCAGCGCAGGUUACCCAGCGCUGCGGGUCAAACAAGGAUAAACCAAACAUGAGAAAGCUGCAGACUGACUGACUGGCCCGAUCAUGUGCGCCCUUGGCCCCAGUCCCAAAAAAAAAAAAAAGUGUUUAGCCAAAAUACAGCACAGCUUAGGCUGUUAAAAAGAGAAAAAAAAAUCACGGGGUAAUCACAAGAGAAGGGGCCUGGCUCUCCGCAGAGGUAAGCUGGGGAGGAGCAGGGACUGUCUGAGCCCCGAGGCCGAUCUGCUUGGUGAGUGUCGGUGUUGACGGGAUUUCCAGCUCGACGCGUCGUGUGUUUUUACCCGAUGACAGGCCUGCAAGAGAAAGGAAAUCUCUGCAGACCUUAUAACCUUCAUUCUAAAGAACGUGCCGGCACUCGCAGGGACUGAGUUAUCGCCUUCAGUAAACCGCUGUUGGAAUCACCACGUGUUUUUCUUGAGGGAGAGGAGUCAGUAUGCUGCGGCCCCUUAGGGAGAGAGUCAGGAGAUGUCUCCCCUCCAUCAUGGGAAAGCUGAUGGCUGAGGAGCAUUUGUAGAGUGAGGAAAUAAGUUCGUUAUAGCGGAAUAAAAUCAAAGUGUGCGUAGGGAAUUAGUGGUGUACGCGUACUUUCUGCUGUUAUUAGGUAGCCCAGCCGGUCUGGAGCCCGGCAAAGGCAAUUGUUGCUCAUUUAGCUGUCAAAGAGCCAUAACUCAGAGGCGCACACUGGCAGCCUUUACUUAAUAAAAUGUUGUCCAGUGUGUUUUUUCUGGUGACAUGUCCUCGACCCCUUUUUAAGGUUAAAAUCAGCAGUAGAUUUUCUUUCUUUUAAGCUGAGCCCCUUUAGGUGCUGCUUGUUUUCUACUUGUUGGUGUCCAAAGAUAUCCUGCAGUUUAGGCUCAACAAGUCUCGAUGUGCAGGUUUGUCACUCUUGCCAGCACGAAUGCAUUAAAGUGGUAAUUUAUUAAUGCACAUCACCAUUUUUUUUUAAAAACUGCUCUAGGAUGUAAUUUAAGAGUGCGAUGGAGAUGGAGACGGAGAGAAAGAGGCAGACAGCGCUGCGCUAUGGAAUUACUGUGACUGGCUGUCAAAGUUGAGCAUUGUAACCGAAUGGCUUGGGGCUGUCAAUGUCAGCGCGCUGGCAGUCCAGAUAAAAGGUACAGAAUAGGGAGAAUGGAGCCACAAAGUUUGAGAAAGUUUGGAAAACUAGUGCAGCACUGAAAGCUGAAGAGGCAGACGUGGAUAACAAAAUGCAGAAGUAAAGUAUUUAAAUAUGUGUUCCAGGGGCCGCGAAAACAAACUGUAAACUAAGUGUUAACAUAUUAGCAUUUUUUAUAUUGAUUUGGCGAACAACAUAUUAUCAUUCAUUCAGAAUCGUGUUUCUGUUUAAAUAUUCAUUCUUUUAGCACUGUUUUGGUUGCCAUCAUCUCUCAUUUAAGAUAUUGUUGUUGCUGCCUGGUGUUUCGUGAGAGUGAACCAAAGCAAAGCAAUUUGCGGGAUUCGUAAAACUAAAAGGGAAGUUUAAAGACGCUUAAAUCCUAUGUGGAGUCGCGAGAAACAUCUGCAUUGGGAAUAAUGAUGCGACAUGUGACUAAGUCCCCCAGCUGGAUUAAACCAGAUAAAAGCAAUAACGGCUUGAGGCUUUCCAGAGCAUCAGCGGUCUACAACACGUAAUAACAACGGUAUAAUUUAAUUUAUUAUUAUUACAUCCAGAGGCGACGGACCACCUGGUGGACGCACAAUAGGUGUUAUUUGAUGCUGUGGUUCUAAAGGUUAUAGCAAGAUGAUACAUGUGUGUGUGAAGCAGAAUCUUCCCAAAGAGCAACACUGACCUGACGCUCCAGAUCACAGCAAACAAUUAAUCUACAUUUGUAAAUCCAUGAAGUUCUGACCAGCAGCAGAAACCUGGAACAGAGGAUGUCAGAGUGAGGGAGAGAGAACGGCUGCUGUCUGUCUGAGCUCGGUUAUUACUAAGGUUAUUAUUUCAUGUCAGUGCUCGGAUGAGAUGAAUAUUUGCGAAAUUCACACCAUUAAAUUUACAUUUGCUCCACUUCUUCGUGUCCCGUCAUGCAUAAAAACGUGGCUGUGGUUUCACAAGUAUAAUGAAGCAAAGAGACAAUGUCAUACUAAAUAAUGGAUGCGUUGUUAUUUCAUUUCAUGUCACCGCUGCGUCGUCUGCAUGAGAGGUGCUUCUCUCUUUCUUCCUCGCGUCUUUAUCGGAACAAUCAAAUGCUUCGCGAAGGGAAGCUGGUGGUGAAAAGCACCACACGUGGCUUUAACUUGCCUUGUGAGAAGAAAAGAGGGACAAUCUCUACUUUCAAACGUUGUAGCUACAGGCGGCAAAUAAAGCCUCAGAUCCCCUCAGAAACAUCAACGCCUGAGAGAAGAAUCAAGGAAAAAGUUGUAGUGCUUCAGAAUAUGCACAGAAAAACUGAUUAACUAAUCUUAAUAACAGGUUGGGACAAAUCUGAAAGGUAUAAUAAUGUUAUAGUACACCAAUAAUAAUAAUAAUAUGUGCUGAAAAAAAAACUUUCUGGAACAAAUUAUGUUUAAUUUAUUUGGACUUUCCCUUAUUAAAUCCGUCUUUGGUUGAACUCUUCAUAACCGGUGAUGUUUAAAAGGCAGCACAGGCCAAAAAACAUUUUGGGCAACAUUAGAAUAAGUCAUGAAAGAGAGAAGUUGGCAUUCAUGAGGCAAAGUUCCACAUUCAAUUUGAAAAAUAAAAAUGACAUUUAAUGGUGGAAAAUGACAUUUUUCAUCAAUACCCAAACGCCACUAACGUUACACAUGCUCUGUGUUACAGACGGCCAUGUCGGGGAUUCAGUCCGCUCCGCUAUACGUCUGAAUGGUCUCUAGACAAAAUAAAUAUAGGGUGUAACUACCUGUCAUCAAAAGCUGUGGACAACAGUCGCACACAGCUCCUAAACAGGCCUCCGUAACCACGUUGAAUGACUCCUGGAGAAUACAAAUACUGUUUGUCCAGGUGCACCAAUGACAAAAAAAAACCUGCCCCACUCUGCUCACAACCAUAAGUCCUGUGUGGGUGUGCAUGUGUUAACAUUUAAAAGGUUGUGUGUGUGUGUGUGUGUGUGUUUCCCAUAAUCACAUCGUGAUGAGGGAGUAACUGUGCUUUGCUGAUGUGUGCGCCGAUAGACACCUGCGAACUGCGUCUUUCUCUCUCCGUGUGUCCUCACCUGUGACCCUCUUUCAACGCAACACGCAUCUGCUCUCUCGUCGUUGUGCGCGCGUCCACCCGUCGCUCUCUCCUCCAUCCUCCACCUCCGCCCUGCUCGCCUCCCCCACCACCCGACACACACAGAGGCCCCCGAACGGUUGGUUUAGCUGGAAGGAUUCCUGGCAGAGUGAUUUUGUUGUGAUGUAAUGUAAAUCACAUUGCCAGGGAUUUCCAACCAGCUAAAGCUGAGACCCACGCCGCUUGUCUGACCCCCCCUACUCCCAAGACGGCUGCUCGGCAACACCAUCGGCCGAAGAAGUCGCGUGUGCACGUUCUCGCCGGCGGACUAACUGCUCUCACGUAGUUGACACGUGUUCCCCCGCGUGUUGGUCCAGAGUUUGACGGAGGGGCAGGACUUAGCUCGCUCCGUGAACAGUCCAGUGAAAGCCUGUGUUCACAGUGGCUAAGUUCCGCUCCUCACAAGCCCUUCCAGCUCUCAAGGAAUCAACAUGGAAGCGUCCUGUUUUCUAUUUGCUGCCACGUGGUGGAUGAACUUGCACCGUUGAAUUUACCCGCUUACAAGUCUCCUUGAGGAGCGGUUUCAGUGAGAAUUCAUUGAUUUGGCCGUUUAAUUUUCCGUCGUUUCCGUUGUUAAUCUGUUGUUUAUUUAUCUAAAUAUAUAAAUACUUUAUAUCGUGGCAAAUGUGUUCCCAGCAACCCAUUUAUGUCAUAGGAACAAGAAUCCGUUAUGUCAGAUGUACAGUAGCCAAUGUAAUGUUGUGUAACGGGCUCGAGGAAUGUCCUUUCUUUGUUCUGUGACCGUCUAUGUUGUCCCUCCUCGACAGACGGAGGGAAAAAAGUGCACAAUAGCUUCAGUGUGAGGGAAGAAUAAGACGAGGAUCUUGAUGAGAAAGAGCGAUGGGUGAGAGAAGUAUAGGCAGCGAGGGGAGGGCUCGCUCGUGCAGGAAGGAAGUACAGGAAAUGUCCCAUCAGGGAAACAAGUAGCGACGUAAUUGUGAUCCGUGAGCUCAUUCGGAGUCUGGGUGGUCGUCAAAGCAAAGCCCUGAUUGCGCGCGUAUCCAUGUGUGCACGCAGCUAUCCACGUGUAGGCGGAAAAAGGACCACACAAUGCUGCUAACUUGGUUCAAUAAAGACCAGAAUAAUGUACAUGUUCAGUUUGAUUUCAAUUACAUGUCUGUUUUAAUGUUUAGGAUUAUAUUGUUUGUUCUCAUUCCCUUGACUUUAUUCCUGCAUUGAUUUGAUUUCUAUUUUAUUUACUGCAUGUUGUGACUUAAUAUUGUUCAUGUCCUUCAAUCCAUCCAUCUAUCAAUUCAAAUAUACCUGUAUGUAUAGAGAUCUGGAUCAUUAUGUGCAUUGUGUAACCCUUUUUACUUGUGAAACGAUACCCUUAUCUGGCAUUUGCCUGCCGUUGUGGUGAAGGUGAGGUGGUGCAGGUGGUGCAGGUGGUGCAGGUACCUGGGCUCAACCUCCUGUGCCUACUGAGCUGAUAACAGUUAGAUGUUAAACAAACACUGGCUCAGUUCAGCAGGAACCGGAGUUAGGCCCUCUAGAAACAACCCGUGCCGUCGCCACACAACAGGACAUUAAAGGCCGUGUUUCAAUUCACAUGUUUGCGCGCCUGUUUUGACAUAUCGCAAUGGACAAGAGUCGAGGACUUCCUCAAUGGCGGGAAAUUGUUUUUGCGUUGUUUAUGAUUCUGUCUGAAUAAGAGUUGACGAGCUGGCUGUUUGCUGGCAGAUUACAGCCAAACGUAACUUAUGGCGCCAACUUCAGAGCCAAAUAUGUAAAGCCCUCCGAGGCAAAUUUGUGAUUUUGCCCUAUAAUUCAGUGCGAACAUGGCUAGCGUUGCCAUAGCACUGUAAAUUCAGCUUUCUGUGUCUGCAGCAGUAUAGCCUGCCUAUAAGUACUUUUUCCCUCCAAGGACGUAAUUAUUUCUUUACACCUGUAAUAAAAGGGCUUUACACUUUCUACACAAAGGCCCAUCGAGGGCGUUCUCCAGUGCUGCCGAAGCAAAGAACUCACGUCCCACACAUCCUCUUGGAGUGGUAACCUCUCUGUUAAGCUUGUAAUGGAGGAUAUCUGCUUCUGUUGGUUUGGUAUUACUGAAAAAUCACAGGAGCAGAGUUUUUCCAGUUGUACUUUCUACAUCGGACUGCACGAAGGCUACAAGAAGACUCAUUUGGAUGUCGUCAAAGUCCAGCUGGUGCAUUUCAAUAAAUGUUGAACGUGCCUUAGUUCCUGCAUGCUAAUCAAUUUAAUUAAAAGAUAUAGUGAAUUAAUUAUUAAUUAUCAAAUGUAAUUCAGAACAUUUUUUCUCGACAAAGCUGAGCUUACAGCUAGAAGCUAACGGCGCUAACUCCACAAACAGUGUGAGGGUGCUAACAGUGUUAGCGUGGCGUGGAAAAGGAGGCGUGGCUUACAGCGCGGAGCAGCAGCCAAUAGCUAACCAGUUGGGAAUCUUCAACAAACAUGGGAAAAGAUUGUAGAUUACUCACUUUUAUAAAUGAGUGUUAAUGAACAUCAAUAUUUUUUGUUAAAUUAUGAAUGGAAAGUACUUGUGAUUUGUUUUUUGCUACUUGAUAUCAUUGUUCAAUAAAGAAUUUUACCACAUG